Molecule: ribosomal RNA, 445 nt
Filed under: uncultured bacterium
Lineage: Bacteria
Description: bacterial SSU rRNA
Rfam family: Bacterial small subunit ribosomal RNA
Source: RNAcentral
GUGAGGAAUAUUGGACAAUGGGCGCAAGCCUGAUCCAGCCAUGCCGCGUGCAGGAAGACGCAUCUAUGGUGUGUAAACUGCUUUUGUACGGGAAGAAACACUCCCUCGUGAGGGAGCUUGACGGUACCGUAAGAAUAAGGAUCGGCUAACUCCGUGCCAGCAGCCGCGGUAAUACGGAGGAUCCAAGCGUUAUCCGGAAUCAUUGGGUUUAAAGUGUCCGUAGACGGUUUAAUAAGUCAGUGGUGAAAGCCCAUCGCUCAACGAUGGAACGGCCAUUGAUACUGUUAGACUUGAAUUACAAGGAAGUGACUAGAAUAUGUAGUGUAGCGGUGCAAUGCUUAGAUAUUACAUGGAAUACCAAUUGCGAAGGCAGGUUACUACUUGUAGAUUGACGCUGAUGGACGAAAGCGUGGGGAGCGAACAGGAUUAGAAACCCUUGUAGUCC